GGGUUUACUGAGUUUACUGUACAAGUUUUGAGUAUUCAAAGAUGGCGACUGUUUUGCCGCUUUGAUUGUAAAGCUUUUCAUUCUUCAUGCAGGCAGUGAUGGAGUGGAAUGCUAUAGCUGUGGAGCGACAUCAGUUGGCCUGUGCUUUACAAAAACUACCUGUAACUUUCUGGAGGUGUGCUAUACAGCAAACUCUGGGUCUAUAAUAACCAGCAAAGGAUGCUUGGCACUCACUAGUUGUGAGCAGUCUGCACAGGAAACGCUUCUGGGAAUCCCAUAUACAGUUGUAAAGCACUGCUGCCCUGGAAGUCUCUGCAAUGGUGGAAUUACCAUCCAGAUGUCCCUUUUGACUGGCUUCGCAAUGCUGCUUGCAUGGAUACUCCACAUAUGAAAUAAUAACAUCCUUUGCAAGAAUAAUCAAUAAAUCUAUAAAGAAAACUAAUGAUUUUAAUUUGUAUAUAACCAGAACUUUAUCAUGCUGCUUGGUCUUAAGAGCUUGAUCUAGCUUUGUUAAAGGUUUCCAUUUGUUAACUUCAUACGAUAUUGGUGUUAUCUGCAACUUUUUCUUUUUUUUUUGUCUCAAAGGGUCUUGCACUAAAUACUGCAUGGCAACUAACCAGAGCUUGUUGCAUCUAGCUUUUCUAAAACAAAAACUAUGUACUGAGUUGGGUCUGUUUGCAUCCCAUGUUGACUCAUUUCUGACAAAACUAAUUGAAAAUAAAGAUAUGUCAAUAUGUA
Molecule: long non-coding RNA, 738 nt
Organism: Protopterus annectens (West African lungfish)
Lineage: Eukaryota; Metazoa; Chordata; Ceratodontiformes; Protopteridae
Exons: 2
Source: RefSeq, a predicted model, not a curated record